RNAcentral lists this non-coding RNA (80 nucleotides) under Oryzias latipes (Japanese medaka). Lineage: Eukaryota; Metazoa; Chordata; Actinopteri; Beloniformes; Adrianichthyidae. The record is from Rfam by way of RNAcentral.
CCUGCUGAAUUAAAGCAUAUUACUAACCAGAGGAAAAGAAACCAACCAGGAUUCCCUCAGUAGUGGCGAGCGAAGACUGC